Molecule: ribosomal RNA, 433 nt
Filed under: uncultured bacterium
Lineage: Bacteria
Description: partial 16S ribosomal RNA
Rfam family: Bacterial small subunit ribosomal RNA
Source: RNAcentral
AACGAACGCUGGCGGCAUGCCUAACACAUGCAAGUCGAACGAAGGCUUCGGCCUUAGUGGCGCACGGGUGCGUAACGCGUGGGAAUCUGCCCUUGGGUUCGGAAUAACUUCGGGAAACUGACGCUAAUACCGGAUGAUGACGUAAGUCCAAAGAUUUAUCGCCCAAGGAUGAGCCCGCGUCGGAUUAGCUAGUUGGUGAGGUAAAAGCUCACCAAGGCGACGAUCCGUAGCUGGUCUGAGAGGAUGAGCAGCCACACUGGGACUGAGACACGGCCCAGACUCCUACGGGAGGCAGCAGUGGGGAAUAUUGGACAAUGGGCGAAAGCCUGAUCCAGCAAUGCCGCGUGAGUGAUGAAGGCCUUAGGGUUGUAAAGCUCUUUUACCCGGGAUGAUAAUGACCGUACCGGGAGAAUAAGCUCCGGCUAACUCCGUG